CAUAAUAUCGUAGUGUCUUUAGGUUCCCACCCUCAAGUCGGAUCAGCUGUUGGUCACUAAUUGACCGUGCGCCUGACAGCUGCCCCAUGUACCGUAUCUCCCAGAAGUACUACCGAUUUAUUGGCACCGAGACUCCAAAAUCCCGAAGGACAUCAACGACACGUACUUUCGUUUUAUUAUUAUUCGCGAGAACAACUUUCGGACCGCCGAACAGGAUAUUUUUGCUGAGUAUACGGCGGUCGCAACCGGGGUGUAUACACCUCUGAGACUCCACGGACUCUAAACGGUGUUGUGGUCAAUCUUAGAGAAAAUUUUCUCUGGUCAAUCUGUUCUCGCCAGAACGAGCGGUGGUGGAGCACGAUCACCAGCGAAAGUAGGCCGUACAGUAAGCAGUGGCAGCGGCAGCAAUAGCUCAACAACAAGCCCACCAGAAACAACAUCAACAGCUUUAGGAAAAUGAUCAUCUGGAUAAGCGGGAUUUACCGAAUCCAGAAGCAGCAGCCGUUCCCUAUCAACAAAAACCAGAAGCGGCCAUCAAGAGAGCGGAAGAUAUCCUGGAAAAGCGCUUCGGCCCAGACGGAAAGUUCUUUGCAGUCUUGGCAAGCAAUGCAUUUCUAAUGCUCCGGGCACCGGGGGACCUGAUUGACAAAUUCCAAUGCUGAUACCGGGAGUUGAUGAAGAUGAAGAGCACCUGAGCUGGAUUUGCCUUGUGCAUUCGAGAAUACCAAUCGGAAGCGGGUUGUAUUAUUUCGCCGGACGAUACAUCGGCAUUCUUACAGGCUGCAGGACGACGAACAGCAUGUAAAAGAGCAAAGAUCCCUCCUCCGGAUCCUGCCAAUCCGCCAAGAAAAGAAAAUGUCGUCUGUAGAUUUGAUGGUACAUCGGGCAGUACCAUUGGUCAAUCCGGAUCUUUGCUAUUCAAGGAAUUUGACACCUAAGCGACCGACUUGAUGAUAUAAUCAAGUGAAUAUUGAAACAUUUUUUUACUCCCGUCAACCAUGGUUUGCCAACAUCGCUAUCUGGAGGAUCCUUGCCGAUGUGACGCCAACGCCUUGUUAUAGCAAAUGCUUAUUUUGCAUACAUAUAAAUAAAAAUACUGAGGUGGGUGGGGUGUUUCUGUGGUCUCUAUAUUAUCCAUCCGAAAAUUCGCCAGGAUUCUGAACGAGACAACCAAUACAUCUAAGUAAAUCUACAAUAGUGGUCUGAAUUUGUUGUUCAGGAAUUUCACCAUGUCCUCCCAGAUUGCAAGGUGACGCAAAUCGCUUGAAACUUAUAGAAUUAUUCCUGUGGUCCUUAAGAUAUUCUUCCAUUUGAUCAGAAUUUUUCACUCAGAAGGUUCAUCAUGUCUUCCCAGGUUGCGAGGUGACGCGAUACGCUUAGAACUUAUUGAGUUACUUCAGUAAUUAUGCGAUAUUCUUCCAUUUGAUCUAAAUGCAUUUCCAAUGCUCACGUUUUCCUAAAAUGCAUGGUGAUGCAGGACAUCAUGCUCCACUCGAAGAAGCUUUUUUCUAAUUUGGCUCACCACGUCCUCCUAAAA
Aedes albopictus (Asian tiger mosquito) is the source of this 1537-nucleotide long non-coding RNA. RefSeq lists it as uncharacterized. The record is from RefSeq and is a predicted model, not a curated record. NCBI's taxonomy places the organism in Eukaryota, Metazoa, Arthropoda, Insecta, Diptera, Culicidae. The transcript is spliced from 3 exons.